RNAcentral lists this ribosomal RNA (188 nucleotides) under uncultured Anoxybacillus sp. RNAcentral describes it as "partial 16S ribosomal RNA". It matches the Rfam family "Bacterial small subunit ribosomal RNA", at positions 1195 to 1382 of the family's 1533-position model. Lineage: Bacteria; Bacillati; Bacillota; Bacilli; Caryophanales; Anoxybacillaceae. The record is from RNAcentral.
AUGCCCCUUAUGACCUGGGCUACACACGUGCUACAAUGGGCGGUACAAAGGGUCGCGAACCCGCGAGGGGGAGCCAAUCCCAAAAAGCCGCUCUCAGUUCGGAUUGCAGGCUGCAACUCGCCUGCAUGAAGCCGGAAUCGCUAGUAAUCGCGGAUCAGCAUGCCGCGGUGAAUACGUUCCCGGGCCUU